Molecule: small nucleolar RNA, 135 nt
Organism: Labrus mixtus (cuckoo wrasse)
Lineage: Eukaryota; Metazoa; Chordata; Actinopteri; Labriformes; Labridae
Product: small nucleolar RNA SNORA84
Exons: 1
Source: RefSeq, a predicted model, not a curated record
GCCUGGUGGUUCCUUGAGUCAGCUAACAAGUGCUGAACUUUGGGUUUUUGUUAACAGGCAAAUAUUGAUUCUGCGAUUUUAUGCAUGGAAGCUGCCACUUUAGCAUCCUUCCAUAGCCCGGUCGCAGAUACACUG